RNAcentral lists this ribosomal RNA (493 nucleotides) under uncultured bacterium. RNAcentral describes it as "partial 16S ribosomal RNA". It matches the Rfam family "Bacterial small subunit ribosomal RNA", at positions 32 to 507 of the family's 1533-position model. The record is from RNAcentral.
AACGCUGGCGGCGUGCCUAAUACAUGCAAGUCGAGCGAACAGACGAGGAGCUUGCUCCUCUGACGUUAGCGGCGGACGGGUGAGUAACACGUGGAUAACCUACCUAUAAGACUGGGAUAACUUCGGGAAACCGGAGCUAAUACCGGAUAAUAUAUUGAACCGCAUGGUUCAAUAGUGAAAGACGGUUUUGCUGUCACUUAUAGAUGGAUCCGCGCCGCAUUAGCUAGUUGGUAAGGUAACGGCUUACCAAGGCAACGAUGCGUAGCCGACCUGAGAGGGUGAUCGGCCACACUGGAACUGAGACACGGUCCAGACUCCUACGGGAGGCAGCAGUAGGGAAUCUUCCGCAAUGGGCGAAAGCCUGACGGAGCAACGCCGCGUGAGUGAUGAAGGUCUUCGGAUCGUAAAACUCUGUUAUUAGGGAAGAACAAAUGUGUAAGUAACUAUGCACGUCUUGACGGUACCUAAUCAGAAAGCCACGGCUAACUGCGUG